UGGAGCGAAUCCCUAAAAGCCGUCCCAGUUCGGAUUGCAGGCUGCAACCCGCCUGCAUGAAGUUGGAAUCGCUAGUAAUCGCGGAUCAGCAUGCCGCGGUGAAUACGUUCCCGGGCCUUGUACACACCGCCCGUCACACCAUGAGAGUCGGGGACACCCGAAGUCCGUAGCCUAACCGCAAGGGGGGCGCGGCCGAAGGUGGGUUCGAUAAUUGGGGUGAAGUCGUAACAAGGUAGC
Molecule: ribosomal RNA, 237 nt
Filed under: uncultured bacterium
Lineage: Bacteria
Description: partial 16S ribosomal RNA
Rfam family: Bacterial small subunit ribosomal RNA
Source: RNAcentral